RNAcentral lists this ribosomal RNA (708 nucleotides) under Thiomicrospira sp. Its description in RNAcentral is "bacterial SSU rRNA". It matches the Rfam family "Bacterial small subunit ribosomal RNA", at positions 130 to 832 of the family's 1533-position model. The record is from RNAcentral. Lineage: Bacteria; Pseudomonadati; Pseudomonadota; Gammaproteobacteria; Thiotrichales; Piscirickettsiaceae.
CCUUUAGUGGGGACAACAUAUGGAAACGUAUGCUAAUACCGAAUAUGAUCUACGGAUUAAAGGAGCCCUCUUCUUGAAAGGUUUCGCUAUAGGAUGAGCCCGCGUGAGAUUAGCUAGUUGGUAAGGUAAUGGCUUACCAAGGCGACGAUCUCUAGCUGGUUUGAGAGGAUGAUCAGCCACACUGGGACUGAGACACGGCCCAGACUCCUACGGGAGGCAGCAGUGGGGAAUAUUGCACAAUGAGCGAAAGCUUGAUGCAGCCAUACCGCGUGUGUGAAGAAGGCCCGAGGGUUGUAAAGCACUUUCAAUUGUGAGGAAGAUAGUAUAGUUAAUACCUGUAUUAUUUGACGUUAACUUUAGAAGAAGCACCGGCUAACUCUGUGCCAGCAGCCGCGGUAAUACAGAGGGUGCAAGCGUUAUUCGGAAUUACUGGGCGUAAAGCGCGCGUAGGCGGACUAUUAAGUCAGUUGUGAAAGCCCUGGGCUCAACCUGGGAACUGCAUCUGAUACUGGUAGUCUAGAGUUUAAGAGAGGGAAGUGGAAUUCCAGGUGUAGCAGUGAAAUGCGUAGAUAUCUGGAGGAACAUCAGUGGCGAAGGCGACUUCCUGGCUUAAAACUGACGCUGAGGUGCGAAAGCGUGGGUAGCGAACGGGAUUAGAUACCCCGGUAGUCCACGCCGUAAACGAUGUCAACUACCUGUUGGCCUUAU